This is a small nuclear RNA of Oryctolagus cuniculus (rabbit), 115 nucleotides long. Its record names the gene U2. It matches the Rfam family "U2 spliceosomal RNA". From Rfam's summary of the family: U2 is a small nuclear RNA (snRNA) component of the spliceosome (involved in pre-mRNA splicing). Complementary binding between U2 snRNA (in an area lying towards the 5' end but 3' to hairpin I) and the branchpoint sequence (BPS) of the intron results the bulging out of an unpaired adenosine, on the BPS, which initiates a nucleophilic attack at the intronic 5' splice site, thus starting the first of two transesterification reactions that mediate splicing. NCBI's taxonomy places the organism in Eukaryota, Metazoa, Chordata, Mammalia, Lagomorpha, Leporidae. The record is from Ensembl.
AUCACUUCUCGGCCUUUUGGCUAAGAUCAAGUGCAGUAUAAAUAAGUGAUUUUUAUUUAUAAAUAGACAAUAUAAGUACAUGUAACAUAUAACUACAUUACACUUAGUAUCCACU